UUCACCUUAUAUACUCAUUUUAAGUGCAAUUGCUAUAAGAUUUUUGUCAUCGUAGAUGUUUGUGUCUUUUACAUACUGCGGAAUCUUUCACAAAUUUCAAUUACCAGACUUUACUCUUCAGUCUGGAUGUUGAUAUAAUCAGUGAAAACACUACACAGCUACACACAGGCUUCUGCUGUCUUGCAAAACUGAGAUGAAGUCAGUGCCACAUCACGUAAAUUAUUUUUAUAUAUUUUUUUUAAAAAUAUUUUUUAUAUUUAUCUAUAUUUUUAUAUGUAUUCUCUACAUUGGUAUGUUCAGAAAAAUUGUUGCAGGAAUUUUUUUUACAGACAUUUGGCACAUGCAGGGACAGAAGCAGGUGGCACCAAAGCUUUGUAGACGUAGAUGAGUGGAACAAUUUACUCUGAUUUUUAAAAAAUUAUUAUAAAACUGGAGGAUGGUGAAACUAAGUGAUACAGUUUUAAAUGCAAACACUUGUCACACCAAAUAAUGGUCUUUAUUUAUCAAUUGUUCAGUAAAUAUGUACAUAAAUAUUUUACUAGGCCAACCUGAAAGCCUGUAUAAGUUUUGUUAAAUUUUCUGUCUAUUCAAAAUGACGUCUAAACAGUCUCGGAGCACUUCCUAAACGCAGCAUGUGCUCCUUUCAUAGGGUACCAUUUCUUUUGUCCUAAUUAAAUUGAUUGAAUUAUGGAUUUAUUUUGGAUUGCCAUGUCUUAGAUCAUAACUAAGCGUUUUGGCACAGCAGCGUAAUCCAUAUAUUUAUAAAAACCCAAGUAUUGGAACAUUUCUCCAAACUAACCGAAUAUACCAGUUUACUUAUACCAGUUUAAUCUAAAGACUUGUAAGACUGUGUAACUAAACCGUGUGAUGUUUUUGGACAUGUUUCUGCAGGGUAAGUGAGGAAGUGUGGCAGAUUUCCACAUCAAUUGUAAGAUGUUUAGCAGAAAAGACGGAGACUAGGACCUGUGUGGAGGCGGGCAGGUAACAUUGUAGCUCAGAGCAGAUACAAUAACUUCUGAUGUGCCACUCUUAUUUCAAAAGAGCCAGUCUCUUUGUUAGAGAGCGAGAGUGCACUGCAAAUGCAGGAUGUCUGUGGACUUUUGUGCAGCCAGUGAAAGGAUUAAGAAUUUGAAAAGGAGUUGGGGAAAUACCAAAGACUUGUAGCUAAUCACUUCCCCUGUUAAUGCCUGUUCUUGAUUAAAAGAAGGAGAAAGACUAUAGAGGGAUAUGGUAGGAUUUGAGAGUUAGAGUCUGUUCGGAGUGGAUUGUGUUAGUGCUAGCUCUAAUAAAGUUCAGUCUCCUGAGUUGUCACUUCUGUAAUAUUUGACUCAUGGCUGUGUGUAAUAACAUUAAAUCCUCUGAAUGCAUAUUCACUUCCUCCGAAGUUUCCCAAAAAACAUGUACAGAAUUUUAGUCAGAUGUUCAAGGAAAGUCCCAGUUCUCAAAAUACACAUGACCUCUGCAUGAAAGGACAGCAUAAGUAAGUCUUGCUUUAUCUGUCGCUGUUUACCUGCUGAAAUGCUUACAUUCACACUCAUUCCAGUGUCUCGCAGCUGAUUCACAUUAUGUCACCACCACUGCAGGCUAAUGGACUUCAUAGGGGGAAAAAAAACUUUCUUUGUUCAGCUCCUUAGUCACUGCAGACCCCCAUCCUCCCUUCCCCUCCUCCACCUACUCUUUUCUUCCCUUUUCUCCCCCUCUUGUCCCAUUUGGCAUCUCCAUGGCAAUAGGACAUUUGUAUAGUGAUGGACAGUGUCCUGUCCCUCCUUUUGCCUCAUCUUCGCUUUCUCCUGCUUCUGCUCAAACCAUCCUGGAGCUCGCGACCUUUUGUGUGUCCUUCUCCAAUUCUAAGUGAACCAACAGGCUCGCUGUUAGUGAGAGCGUAAGAUCGGCAGGGUCUGACAGAGGGCAGGGGGGGAGUAGUGACCUAUGACCCUGCUGCGUUACCUGCUGGGUAUGACCCAUGUGUCUCCAGCCCUCGGAGGAGCUUGACUGAAUCACAAGUUGUGUUUUUAAUGGAUCCCAGCUGGAUCUAAGGAGGAGAAGCUGAUCUAUCUGUGAACCAAUUACAGCAGAGAACACAGAGAACACUUUGUUCUUCCAGCUAUUAUUUCACAUCACCUCAUCUCAACCAUGCAGAAAGUGUAGAGAUCAAGGCUUAGAGCCAACUGGACUCUCUUUACUUACUUACAGGAGUUUGUACACAACCUCUAGGUUUAAUUAUCAUCUUAUGCCUCAAGAAUGCUUACUGUACAUUUUUUCCAAAAAAAAAAAAAAAAAAAAAUUCAUUUUCAGUAAACCUGCUUUCUUCUACCAGUGUGUCAAAAGCAAGAGUGAUAGAGCGAGUCCAGAGUUUCCAGCAGCACUGAAGAUAAAACUGACACUUGUACAAAUAGGAUAUGGUCUAAGAAAGAAACAAAACCUCUCGUAUAGGUAUUCGAUUUAUGUCAGAGUAAUGUGUAACGUGCAGUGAAGGUUGAUCCUGGACCAAAAUUUGGUUCUGAUCUAAAUAAUUAAGGUUUAAAAUAUUUCAGGAUUGUGCUCUAACAGAUAAAUAAUCCAGGUGGUGGUGGUGAUGGGAAGCUGUGAAGCAGGAAGUUUUCAGGUCACAGUUAUUCCUCUUAUUUGCAAGCAGUUUUUCCCAGAAUGACUACAGGGUUUCAUUUAUUACCAUGUGGUGUUUUUAUCAGUUUAGAGUUACAUUUCAUGUUACAGAAAUUCCACAAGACAAGUUAAUUCUUGUGAUCAUUAAUGCUCUAGCAAAAGAAACCCAGUCUUCCUUCACGACCUUCUCCUAGUUCUCUCUUUCUGAAUGUCAUGAGAACGAUAAAGGAGCUUGUCAUGUUCCCAUGGUGGAAAACAGACUGUUGCACAAUUGCUGACACUGAAGUCCCCUUGCCUAUAUGCUGAAUAAACAUCUAUCAUGUGUAUGUUAAUUUUUUUUUAUAAAUAAUUAAUACAUUUUACAUUUAUUUUUAGUGUUAGAUUAUACCUCAAGUCCUAUAGAAUCGCUUGUUAUUAUAGGAAUGAUAAGAAAUUAGAAUGAGAACAUUACUAUAAACUUUAAUAAAAACCUAAAUCAUUUGAAUUAAAGAAAAUUCUAGGAAAAAUAAUUAACGUCUUCUGACCAAACAGAUUGGAGGAUUCCACAGCAACUGUUAUGUGUAUGCCAUGGCAGUGUUUUAGUUUCAGCUGAGUUUCUGUUUCUCAGGAGUUGUCUGCUGUUUCUGAAGUUUCACAGAUUGUUCUGCAGUUACAUGAUACCUCACCUCUGAAAAAUUAUUUUAUAUGCAGCAGUACAGUAUCUUAGCAGCUGUGAGAUUUGCUCCCUUGAUAAGAUGCUUUUAAAGUAUAAAAAGUGCUUGUAGACCAUAGGCAGACUGAGAGAAAUUGACAUUACUGCAGAUAGGAAGCAGUGUAGAGAAAUGGAAAGCAAAGUCAGCAGUAGCACAUAAACAUGUCCAUAUGUGCCAGCCGUAGCUCCUCUACCUCCACUCUUGCUGAGGGGCAACUGGAGGUUUCUGAUGAACUGUUGCCCUGAUAGUUCACCCAGCCCCCACCUGCUUCUUUCCCCUCAGGAGUCACAAAUCAGAGCAAUAUCCAGACUGUCGAGUCUCCUUGAGGAGGAAUAAACAACAUGAUGAUAAGGCUGUGUAACCUGGACCUGGUUUGGAGUCAGAAGUCAUCUGCAGGCUAGGCUGUUGAAGUGACGUGGUGGUUCUCCAGUGUUCUCCUGCUUUCCAACUACAUGUGGUGGACUGGUGAUGCUGGAAUGUGUGUGUGUGUGUAUAACCCUAAAAGAUUCAAAAGAGUUGCCCUGCAGUUCAAACCCACCCUUUAUGAGAGAGUCUGCAGGAGGAAAGCUGUGCUGGCUUUGUUCAGCAGUGAAAAAAAACAACAAAAAACAACAAUGCUGGAGCUCAGGCAGGCACUGGAAGCCAGAUCUCCUGCACUGACCCCAUAUCUCAUUAGAGGAGAUUCUGAAGUUUAUUAAGAGUGGACGGCCCUGGUGGACAUGAAGGAGAGCUUGGAGAGAGCUCUACAAGUUGGGGGGUUCCGUGUGUGUGUGUGUGUGUGUGUGUGUGUGUGUGUUGGAUGGUGGUGGGGGUAGUUCUCCAUUCCUUUACAGCAAGCAGAUGUUCUGCUAGGACCAAGCAGCUCCAGGCACUAAGUGGGGCAUUAAAUGUUGCAGUUCUCAAAUACACCCUCAGUGAGACUCCACACAUGAGAUGAGGAACGUGGAGGUUUAUUCCUGCUAUUCUACUGCACCCACCCCCACCGACCCCCCUACACCCAACCUACCCCCACUUACCCAAUAUAAGUAUGUAUCCAUGUUUCUGAAUAGCCAUUAAAGACCCAGCUAUAAAGGGGGCCAGCAAAGAGUGGGCUUUGAAAGGAAAUCUGUACGAUUCAGGAGAAGGUUGGACCUUCAGUAUGGAGCCUGACAUCAGCACACAGUCUGCUGCCCUAAUAAACUUCCUGUGGGGCUUUAAAUGUAAAAAAAAUAAAUAAAAAAAUUCCCCCUGGUUGAAUUCACAGGUCUUCCAGCUAUAUUAGGCAAAGUCAGUCUAGUCUUUUCAGGGUUUAGUCUCAGCUAGGAUACAUACAGCAUUUGAGGCACUUAAUUAAAAGGUUUUCAUCUCAGAUUCAGCUGCAGUCUUAUUUAAUGAUUAAAGUUGUGUGGAAUGAAAUGCAUUACUGCUUCAUACCACAACAUUGUCGAAUUCUUGACUGAUUGAAACUCUUGCUGGACUGGCAGAAGUUUCGGAGGUAAAUCAAACCACCAGUUUAUGUUAAAGUGCCCUUUCUAAUAGCUACUUUUUCACAGGGACUGGUAUGGCAGAUGUGCCACAUAAUCUACAGAUAAUAAUAAACCGAUUAAAAAGCCUGUAAAGCUCAGCGAUUUUUCCACCACAGGAAAAUCUUCAGGGCAGACCAGUUUUUUUUUAUGUUUGGCACAAACCUCUUGCUAACAUCACAAGCCACAAUUCUUUGUCUUAUUAACUUCCAGAGAACGAGAUUAAAAGCGAAGGCCAUGGCUGUUUAUAACUGCUAUAAUGUAAGCAAUAGCAGGAAUUAACUCGUGUUCUUCCACAACAUUAGAUAAGUAACUGUAAAUAAUUAAAAAGCUCAUUCAUCAUUAAAAGAAUGUAUAUAAUUAUGAGUAAAUCUAUUAUUAAAUUAAAAAUCCUCAGCUAAUUGCUGUGGUGCAAGUCAUGAACACAGUUAAAGAAUGAUUUGUUUACUUUAUAAAAGGUGAGGGUGCCCUGAAGCUGUUAUUUGAUUUUAUAGUUUAUUUCCAUCUUUACUCAGAGUUUCCAUUUUAUUAAUUUUGUUUAAUUCUGUCCACACAAACACUCGCUGUGUGACUUUCCUGUCUUCAGUGUUGCCUUGAGAUCAUUGUGUCUCAUUGUUCUGAAGUCCCUGUGUAAAGCUGUGCCAGGACAAUGUGGGUAACAUGUGUUGAGUUUAUUUAUCCUGGUUUUAGUGACAGAUUCUCCACAGCAUUGCAGAAGGAUACUAGAAGGUGUGCGCUGCACCUACAUGAUUGUUUUGUGAGAACUCGCCCUGGUCUUUGGAUGCCUUGUUUCCUUUAAGGUAACUAGACACCUGUUGCCCCUAGGACCUGGAUUGCUGGCCCCUAUCUCCUAAACACACGCUCUCAAUCUUCGAACACAAACACACACACUUAGGCACUUAACCUCAGGCAAAGGCAUAACAAUGUGGAAGGUUUACCUUUCAGCUUGUCAUGAGUUCAGAUCGUUUUGACUUGUCUAAGUGCGGCUGCAUGGUCUGCUCCUAGCUGUGUCAGGACCUGUACGAUUGAUGCUUCUGCUCCACACCAGAAGGUUAAACAGAAAAUAUCACUGCCCUCUCAGAGAAGGUUGGUGCUGAGGGUGACACAGUGCCUCCUUGUGGAACACACUAACAAUGUUUAAUUAUUCUAGUAAAUUAAAUACUCUGUAAUGAAGUAACAUGGUGGCUACAACUGCCUUAAAGAAUGCUGUGUGUAAAUGAUAAAUCUAUACAUUUAUUAGGGCUUAAAAUCAACAGUUAAAAUUCCAUAAGUUCAGUUCAGAUGCAGUGGCAAUAAAUGCUGUGUUCAUGACACCUCAUAAGUGCUACAUUAACGGAUUAUAAUGACAACACAAAAAACACAAAAAACAACACAGACACUUCAACUGAAGUUUUGAGCUUUAAAUAAAAGGUAACACAUCAUUUUAACACGACUGAGCUAAAAAAAUGUUUAAACUGUGAAAUACAUCCAUAAGGCCAUGAUCACUUUUAUUUUCAUUUAUUUGAUUAAGAUCAGUGAGGUUUUUUAAAAAAGGUAAUAAAAGUAACACUUAUUUAAUGUUUUACUGUCCAAAUGUUUUACUGUAAAAGUAGAAGCAUGAAGAAAAGGGAAAAGAGAACACGUGUGUUGUAUGUAAACCGGAAGCUGUGUCUAAAUCUGGAGCUCUGAUUAUUCCAUAAACAUCAUCUCUGUGCUCUUUCAGUAACUAACCAUAAUUCAGGACCUUGUUUGAUUUACUGCCAGAAAGUGGGUUAAAUAUGAUGAAGGCCAUAUUAUUCUGGCUGGUAUUUUAUUCUUGACUGCAUGUGAAUGUACUGCAUGUAUUCCAGAUAAUAGCGGAUUUCCUUUUAGUAAAUAAAAAACUAAUACAAUAAAAA
This is a long non-coding RNA of Hemibagrus wyckioides, 6675 nucleotides long. RefSeq lists it as uncharacterized. The transcript has 3 exons. Lineage: Eukaryota; Metazoa; Chordata; Actinopteri; Siluriformes; Bagridae. The record is from RefSeq and is a predicted model, not a curated record.